UACGGAGGGUGCAAGCGUUAUCCGGAUUCAUUGGGCGUAAAGGGUGCGUAGGCGGCGCGGUAAGUCGGGUGUGAAAUCUCGGGGCUUAACUCCGAAACUGCAUUCGAUACUGCCGUGCUUGAGGACUGGAGAGGAGACUGGAAUUUACGGUGUAGCGGUGAAAUGCGUAGAUAUCGUAAGGAAGACCAGUGGCGAAGGCGGGUCUCUGGACAGUUCCUGACGCUGAGGCACGAAGGCCAGGGGAGCAAACGGG
RNAcentral lists this ribosomal RNA (253 nucleotides) under uncultured bacterium. RNAcentral describes it as "partial 16S ribosomal RNA". It matches the Rfam family "Bacterial small subunit ribosomal RNA", at positions 524 to 776 of the family's 1533-position model. The record is from RNAcentral.